CAAAAGAUACAACUAUGAUACAUAAUCUAAAUUAUCAUAACCUUAUUUAAAAAGGAAAAAUCAUCAUUCAUAAACAAGAGAUCAAUAGAUAUUUAUCACUUGCUUUUGAAGCUCUUAUACUUUCUUUUUUUUCUUUACAUCCCUUGAAUUUUUACUUGAUACUUGGGGUAUUUAUUUUUUUCUUGAGAUGUUAUGUCUUU
This 200-nucleotide long non-coding RNA is filed under the name Ricinus communis (castor bean). RNAcentral's name for it is "long non-coding RNA (RCOM_LNC002811)". The record is from RNAcentral. Lineage: Eukaryota; Viridiplantae; Streptophyta; Magnoliopsida; Malpighiales; Euphorbiaceae.